This 497-nucleotide ribosomal RNA is filed under the name uncultured bacterium. RNAcentral's name for it is "partial 16S ribosomal RNA". It matches the Rfam family "Bacterial small subunit ribosomal RNA", at positions 28 to 507 of the family's 1533-position model. The record is from RNAcentral.
GAUGAACGCUGGCGGCGUGCCUAAUACAUGCAAGUCGAGCGAACAGACGAGGAGCUUGCUCCUUUGACGUUAGCGGCGGACGGGUGAGUAACACGUGGAUAACCUACCUAUAAGACUGGGAUAACUUCGGGAAACCGGAGCUAAUACCGGAUAACAUGUUGAACCGCAUGGUUCAACAGUGAAAGACGGUCUUGCUGUCACUUAUAGAUGGAUCCGCGCCGCAUUAGCUAGUUGGUAAGGUAACGGCUUACCAAGGCAACGAUGCGUAGCCGACCUGAGAGGGUGAUCGGCCACACUGGAACUGAGACACGGUCCAGACUCCUACGGGAGGCAGCAGUAGGGAAUCUUCCGCAAUGGGCGAAAGCCUGACGUAGCAACGCCGCGUGAGUGAAGAAGGUCUUCGGAUCGUAAAACUCUGUUAUUAGGGAAGAACAAAUGUGUAAGUAACUAUGCACGUCUUGACGGUACCUAAUCAGAAAGCCACGGCUAACUACGUG